RNAcentral lists this non-coding RNA (51 nucleotides) under Trichobilharzia regenti. Lineage: Eukaryota; Metazoa; Platyhelminthes; Trematoda; Strigeidida; Schistosomatidae. The record is from RNAcentral.
AUCCAGUUUCUGACGAGUCCCAAAUAGGACGAAACGGGCUUUAUCCUGGAU